UACGUAGGUGGCAAGCGUUGUCCGGAAUUACUGGGUGUAAAGGGAGCGUAGGCGGGUACGCAAGUUGAAUGUUUAACCUAUCGGCUCAACCGAUAGUCGCGUUCAAAACUGCGGAUCUUGAGUGAAGUAGAGGCAGGCGGAAUUCCUAGUGUAGCGGUGAAAUGCGUAGAUAUUAGGAGGAACACCAGUGGCGAAGGCGGCCUGCUGGGCUUUUACUGACGCUGAGGCUCGAAAGCAUGGGGAGCAAACAGGAUUAGAUACCCUGGUAGUCCAUGCCGUAAACGAUGAUUACUAGGUGUGGGGGGUCUGACCCCUUCCGUGCCGCAGUUAACACAAUAAGUAAUCCACCUGGGGAGUACGGCCGCAAGGUUGAA
RNAcentral lists this ribosomal RNA (374 nucleotides) under uncultured bacterium. RNAcentral describes it as "bacterial SSU rRNA". It matches the Rfam family "Bacterial small subunit ribosomal RNA", at positions 524 to 898 of the family's 1533-position model. The record is from RNAcentral.